AAGUAGCAGUCUCGCGAACGAGUAGCAGUCAACGCGGGAGAUACCGGAGUGCCGCCGCGCCCUCGCAUCGCCUCGCACACGGAUGCCGUCGGUAUGUUGCUGUAACUUGGUGCGCUGAUGAUGCUGAUGCUGUUGCUGUUGCUGUCGUUGCUGCUGCCGACAGGCGAUCCGCGGUUACACAGUGAUGUUAAGUGAAGUGCGUUUAGUGACGUGCGGCCGUAUAAUUGUGUGUUGGGUUUAUCCUGUUUGAAAAUUUCAAACUGAAACGCAGAGUCCUAGGUAGCAGUCACGGAUCUACACAUUAUCAACUCCCGAAUACGGACGUGCUGGUUGCAGCGGCGCUUGACGCUGCACAGGACGGACGGACGCGGACUGUAGCGAUACACGCGUACAGUGAUACGUUUUACGCGUGAGCGUAUACAAAACAAAACUGUUGGGUUUAUCCAAAGAUAAAAAAAAAUUUCUAAAAAUUCAAAUUGUUGGGUUUAUCCAAUUUAAAAUCGAUACUAAAAAUUAGUAUUUAAGUUAUUUAGGUUAAGAUAUUGGCUUUGCGAAAUAUUGCAUGUCUCUUUUCUUUAGUCUACGUAACAUUAAGUGUUUUGGUGACACGUGAAAACGUGCAAAGUGGUGAAACACCGGCUAAAAUCAUAGGUAGCAGAUUUUUUGAAGUAGCAGUCUCGCGAACGAGUAGCAGUCAACGCGGGAGAUACCGGAGUGCCGCCGCGCCCUCGCAUCGCCUCGCACACGGAUGCCGUCGGUAUGUUGCUGUAACCUGGUGCGCUGAUGAUGCUGAUGCUGUUGCUGUUGCUGUCGUUGCUGCUGCCGACAGGCGAUCCGCGGUUACACAGUGAUGUUAAGUGAAGUGCGUUUAGUGACGUGCGGCCGUAUAAUUGUGUGUUGGGUUUAUCCUGUUUGAAAAUUUCAAACUGAAACGCAGAGUCCUAGGUAGCAGUCACGGAUCUACACAUUAUCAACUCCCGAAUACGGACGUGCUGGUUGCAGCGGCGCUUGACGCUGCACAGGACGGACGGACGGGCGGACUGUAGCGAUACACGCGUACAGUGAUACGUUUUACGCGUGAGCGUAUACAAAACAAAACUGUUGGGUUUAUCCAAAGAUAAAAAAAAGUUUCUAAAAAUUCAAAUUGUUGGGUUUAUCCAAUUUAAAAUCAAUACUAAAAAUUAGUAUUUAAGUUAUUUAGGUUAAGAUAUUGGCUUUGCGAAAUAUUGCAUGUCUCUUUUCUUUAGUCUACGUAACAUUAAGUGUUUUGGUGACACGUGAAAACGUGCAAAGUGGUGAAACACCGGCUAAAAUCAUAGGUAGCAGAUUUUUUGACGUAGCAGUCUCGCGAACGAGUAGCAGUUAACGCGGGAGAUACCGGAGUGCCGCCGCGCCCUCGCAUCGCCUCGCACACGGAUGCCGUCGGUAUGUUGCUGUAACCUGGUGCGCUGAUGAUGCUGUUGCUGAUGCUGUUGCUGUUGCUGUCGCUGCUGCUGCUGCUGCCGACAGGCGAUCCGCGGUUACACAGUGAUGUUAAGUGAAGUGCGUUUAGUGACGUGCGGCCGUAUAAUUGUGUGUUGGGUUUAUCCUGUUUGAAAAUUUCAAACUGAAACGCAGAGUCCUAGGUAGCAGACACGGAUCUACACAUUAUCAACUCCCGAAUACGGACGUGCUGGUUGCAGCGGCGCUUGACGCUGCACAGGACGGACGGACGGGCGGACUGUAGCGAUACACGCGUACAAUGAUACGUUUUACGCGUGAGCGUAUACAAACCAAAACUGUUGGGUUUAUCCAAAGAUAAAAAAAAGUUUCUAAAAAUUCAAAUUGUUGGGUUUAUCCAAUUUAAAAUCGAUACUAGAAAUUAGUAUUUAAGUUAUUUAGGUUAAGAUAUUGGCUUUGCGAAAUAUUGCAUGUCUCUUUUCUUUAGUCUACGUAACAUUAAGUGUUUUGGUGACACGUGAAAACGUGCAAAGUGGUGAAACACCGGCUAAAAUCAUAGGUAGCAGAUUUUUUGACGUAGCAGUCUCGCGAACGAGUAGCAGUCAACGCGGGAGAUACCGGAGUGCCGCCGCGCCCUCGCAUCGCCUCGGACACGGAUGCCAUCGGUAUGUUGCUGUAACCUGGUGCGCUGAUGAUGCUGAUGCUGUUGCUGUCGCUGCUGCUGCUGCUGCCGACGACAGGCGAUCCGCGGUUACACAGUGAUGUUAAGUGAAGUGCGUUUAGUGACGUGCGGCCGUAUAAUUGUGUGUUGGGUUUAUCCUGUUUGAAAAUUUCAAACUGAAACGCAGAGUCCUAGGUAGCAGUCACGGAUCUACACAUUAUCAACUCCCGAAUACGGACGUGCUGGUUGCAGCGGCGCUUGACGCUGCACAGGACGGACGGGCGGACUGUAGCGAUACACGCGUACAGUGAUACGUUUUACGCGUGAGCGUAUACAAAACAAAACUGUUGGGUUUAUCCAAAGAUAAAAAAAAGUUUCUAAAAAUUCAAAUUGUUGGGUUUAUCCAAUUUAAAAAGUUAAAAUCGAUACUAAAAAUUAGUAUUUAAGUUAUUUAGGUUAAGAUAUUGGCUUUGCGAAAUAUUGCAUGUCUCUAUUCUUUAGUCUACGUAACAUUAAGUGUUUUAGUGACACGUGAAAACGUGCAAAGUGGUGAAACACCGGCUAAAAUCAUAGGUAGCAGAUUUUUUAAAGUAGCAGUCUCGCGAACGAGUAGCAGUCAACGCGGGAGAUACCGGAGUGCCGCCGCGCCCUCGCAUCGCCCCGCACACGGAUGCCAUCGGUAUGUUGCUGUAACCUGGUGCGCUGAUGAUGCUGUUGCUGUAGCUGUCGCUGCUGCUGCUGCUGCCGACAGGCGAUCCGCGGUUACGCAGUGAUGUGAAGUGCGUUUAGUGACGUGCGGCCGUAUA
Molecule: long non-coding RNA, 2907 nt
Organism: Spodoptera frugiperda (fall armyworm)
Lineage: Eukaryota; Metazoa; Arthropoda; Insecta; Lepidoptera; Noctuidae
Exons: 7
Source: RefSeq, a predicted model, not a curated record